AGCUCCAUUAGCGUAUAUUAAAGUUGUUGCAGUUAAAAAGCUCGUAGUUGGAUUUCGGUGUGGGCCCGUCGGUCGGCCGCGAGGCCUGUUACUGACUGGUCCGCUCUUCCUCCCAGAGACUGCGUGUGCCCUUCGCUGGGUGUGCGUACCGGAUUUGGGACGUUUACUUUGAAAAAAUUAGAGUGUUCAAGGCAAGCUUUGAGGCUUGAAUACAUGAGCAUGGAAUAAUGGAACAGGACCUCGGUCCCUGUUUCGUUGGUUUCGCGGACCGAAGUAAUGAUUAAGAGGGACAAUUGGGGGCAUCCGUAUUUCGUAGUCAGAGGUGAAAUUCUUGGACCUGCGAAAGACGAACAACUGCGAAAGCAUUUGCCAAGAGUGUUUUCAUUAAUCAAGAACGAAA
This 400-nucleotide ribosomal RNA is filed under the name phytoplankton environmental sample. RNAcentral describes it as "partial small subunit ribosomal RNA". It matches the Rfam family "Eukaryotic small subunit ribosomal RNA", at positions 587 to 988 of the family's 1831-position model. The record is from RNAcentral.